GGGCCCGUGGCCUAGUUUGGAAAAGGCGCCGGCCUGCGGAGCCGGAGAACCCGGGUUCAAAUCCCGGCGGGCCCA
This 75-nucleotide transfer RNA is filed under the name Nitrososphaerota archaeon. Its description in RNAcentral is "Thaumarchaeota archaeon tRNA-Arg". It matches the Rfam family "tRNA". Rfam says of the family: Transfer RNA (tRNA) molecules are approximately 80 nucleotides in length. Their secondary structure includes four short double-helical elements and three loops (D, anti-codon, and T loops). The record is from RNAcentral. Lineage: Archaea; Thermoproteati; Nitrososphaerota.